RNAcentral lists this ribosomal RNA (253 nucleotides) under uncultured bacterium. RNAcentral's name for it is "partial 16S ribosomal RNA". It matches the Rfam family "Bacterial small subunit ribosomal RNA", at positions 524 to 776 of the family's 1533-position model. The record is from RNAcentral.
UACGUAGGGGGCUAGCGUUGUCCGGAUUUAUUGGGCGUAAAGAGCGUGUAGGCGGCCAGGUAGGUCUGCUGUGAAAACUCGAGGCUCAACCUCGAGACGUCGGUGGAAACCGUUUGGCUAGAGUCCGGAAGAGGAGAGUGGAAUUCCCGGUGUAGCGGUGAAAUGCGCAGAUAUCGGGAAGAACACCCGUGGCGAAGGCGGCUCUCUGGGACGGUACUGACGCUGAGACGCGAAAGCGUGGGGAGCGAACAGG